RNAcentral lists this unclassified non-coding RNA (2920 nucleotides) under Drosophila pseudoobscura pseudoobscura. RNAcentral's name for it is "GA20043". Lineage: Eukaryota; Metazoa; Arthropoda; Insecta; Diptera; Drosophilidae. The record is from RNAcentral.
UUCAUAUGUUCAUAUGUAUAUGUGUAGGAAAAGCUAACUUAACCAAAUAUAAUCAGAUUUAAGUCAUACUGUUUGAACUUUAAGAGUUUGUGAUAAAACAAAAUGAGUGACGAAAAGAGUGGAGAGGAGCAUCGAGCCAAGCUCAAGAAGCAAAAGAAACAUAAGAAACACAAAAAGUCCACAUCCAGCAAGAGUGACAAAGAGAAACAUGUCCACAAAAGGCACAAAAAGUCAAAGAAGCGUCACCACCACCAUAGCGAGUCUUCCCAUGACUCCGACGGUACAGAACAUCCAAGCGCCAAACAACAGAAAAGCUAUGGACUUAGCGAGAAGUUUUCUGAAAUCAUGCAGAAGGCAAGCCGCAAUGGCGCCGAAUUGUGCAUCUCUAGCUCGAAAUUGCAAACAGACCCGUGUAGUCUCGUGGAGGAAAUUACAAAAACCAUACAGAACAAGGUUCUCCCAGUUUUGGAGGUGGCCAGUUCGAGCAGCGAGAGUGAUGUCCCCAUGGAUGUUGCUAGUCCGAUUAUUGCUGCCAUGAUCGAAGAUGAGUUGAAUUUAGAGGACCUGAUGAAGCAGAAGGCAUUGCUACAGGCUCGCCUGGGCGCGUACAUGUCGGACCCGGACGCUGAUGAAAGAAGUGAACCCAACUCACGAGCACAAUCGGUGCAGUCCAAGCAAAUAGCCAGCAAGGGCCAAUCGCAGCCCUUAUUCCAACCGCAGGCUACUGCAACUAGUAAAAAUGUUAAUAAUAAACAGUCUAGCAUCCAUAACUCAAAUGAAUCCGAUGUUAUAUUAUUGGAUGAUUCUAGCGGAGGCCAGCGCACGCCCUCGCCUACGCCAGAGAAGCGAAGACGACAAGCACCAGCAUCCCCAGCAGCGCCUAGAAGUCGAGUACGCGGCGAUACGGUUCUUGGAAGGCGUGAGCGACGCUCUAGAGACCGGGAUCAGGCGCGUAGCCGCACUCCCCCUCGCCGGCGUAUGGAGGAACAAAUUCGGCCCCGCAGUCAAAGCUCCCAACGACGGAAUCAUCAGCAGAACAAUCGUAACAUGGAAGACUUACGCCAGGAGAUCAAUCGCGAUAAACAGCGAGAAAGGCAUGAGCAUAGCCGGGAUCGGGAGCGCCGUGGACCAGGAUCUGGCACAGACAGGCCACAAGCCACAGCCGAACAACGUGCUGGUCGUCCACGGGAGAGAGACAGUCGCUUCAAUCGCCAGCGGUCUCACAGUCGCAGUAAGUUUGAGUCGGACAGGCGCCGUGAACGUGAGCGCUUCCAAGAUCGGGAUCGCGGUGGCUUUGGUGGUAAUAAUCGUGGUGGAGCACGGGGCGGCGCGGACAACGACCGAGAUCGUUACAAAGGCUCACUGAGCGAAGGCCAGAAGAUUCACGACAAGGAGAGCAGUGACGAUGAGGUUAAUCUGGACAUUGACAUCAACGAGGAUGACGAUGAUGAGGAACGUAUCAUUGAGCAGCGUCGGAAGAAGCGCGAAGAGCUUCUCAAGAAACUAGGAACAGGGCAGGAAUCGCCCACGCCUCAAAAUUCCAACUCCUAUGAGUCUCGUAGCACUUCAGCGGGCUCGUCGCAACGGGAUCGCCAACCAAGAACUCCCACACCCACGCUCAAUGACUUGGAUCACCCCAAGGAGCAGCAGCAGUUGGACAAUUCCAACAGCCAAAAGAAUAGUUCAGGAAAAGAGAAACGCAAUGAGUGGGACAUGUUUGCUGAUCAGGAUGUUGAUUCCAAUUUCGAUUCGCCCAGUACAAUUAUUCACAACAAGCAUCAGCAUGAGAAUCCUGCCCUUACUGACAACUGGGAUGACGCGGAGGGAUAUUAUCGUGUGCGCAUUGGUGAGGUUCUAGACAAUCGCUACUUGGUCAGUGGCUAUACGGGUCAAGGUGUGUUCAGUAAUGUGGUGCGUGGCCGUGAUCAGGCUCGGGGACAGGCCAAUGUGGCAAUCAAGAUCAUUCGCAACAACGAAAUAAUGCACAAAACCGGGCUGCGAGAGCUUGAAAUCCUUAAGAAACUGAACGACGCUGAUCCCGAAGAUCGUUUCCACUGCCUGCGCUUGAAUCGCCAUUUCUUCCACAAACAGCAUCUCUGCAUGGUGUUCGAGCCACUGGCCAUGAAUUUGCGUGAGGUGUUAAAGAAAUACGGCAAGAAUGUCGGGUUGCACAUCAAAGCUGUGCGCAGCUACACUCAGCAACUGUUUUUAGCCCUCAAGCUGCUGAAAAAGACGGGUAUCCUGCAUGCGGACAUCAAGCCGGAUAAUAUUUUAGUCAACGAGAAUAAUUUGAUACUGAAGCUGUGCGACUUUGGGUCUGCUUCGGCAAUAAGUGACAAUGAAAUUACUCCGUACUUGGUGUCGCGGUUCUAUCGAUCGCCAGAGAUCAUUUUGGGAAUACCAUAUGACUAUGGAAUUGACACUUGGUCUGCUGGUUGCACCAUCUACGAGUUAUACACGGGAAAGAUUUUGUUCAGCGGAAAGAGUAAUAAUCAGAUGCUAAAGUUUUUCAUGGACGUGAAGGGCAAGAUACCGAAUCGUAUUGUGAGAAAGGGUCAAUUCAGAGAGCAGCACUUUGAUCAGAACUGCAAUUUCCUCUAUCACGAGAUAGACAAGCUCACGGAAAGGGAGAAGAUUGUUGUGAUGCCAGUUGUAAAGCCAUCGCGUAGCCUGCAGCAGGAACUGAUUGCUGAUCAAAAUCUGCCCGAUGAUCAGCAUCGCAAGGUCACUCAGCUCAAGGAUCUGCUAGAGAACAUGUUUGCCCUGGAUCCAGCGAAGCGGAUCUCCCUCAAUCAAUCACUAAUGCAUCCCUUUAUUCAGGAGAAAAUGUAGAGAUGAACAGCGACAUCGAAUAAACUGUGGUGUGCCGCUGAUAACGGAAGAGCGCUCCUUGGCCGUGUGGCUGACUCAACUGUUGGGU